UACGUAGGGGGCGAGCGUUGUCCGGAAUUAUUGGGCGUAAAGAGCGUGUAGGCUGUUCGGUAAGUCUGCCGUGAAAACCUGAGGCUCAACCUCGGGCGUGCGGUGGAUACUGCCGGGCUAGAGGACGGUAGAGGCGAGUGGAAUUCCCGGUGUAGCGGUGAAAUGCGCAGAUAUCAGGAGGAACACCGGUGGCGAAGGCGGAUCUCUGGGCCUUACCUGACGCUGAGGCGCGAAAGCUAGGGGAGCGAACAGG
RNAcentral lists this ribosomal RNA (253 nucleotides) under uncultured bacterium. RNAcentral describes it as "partial 16S ribosomal RNA". It matches the Rfam family "Bacterial small subunit ribosomal RNA", at positions 524 to 776 of the family's 1533-position model. The record is from RNAcentral.